AAGGAAAAGAAGUUAAAUAAUUCAAAAAGUGCUUUUGGGUACAGCUAUUUAGCAGUAGGGGAUAAGAUUAGAGAUAGAUUGUAAAGAUAAUAGUAGGGUUAGGGUUAGGAUUAGGGUCUGGGUCAGAGUCAGGGCCGGAAGUAUGGUUAGAGGUGGGGUCAUGGUCAGGGUCAAGAUCAGAGUCAGGGUCAAAGUCAGGGUCAGAAUUAGGGACCAGGGUAGGGAUCAGGGUUUAGGGUCAGGGUCAAAGUCUAGAGACAGGAUUGGGGUUAGGAUUAGAACCAGAGAUUUGUUCUCCUCAGGAACCACCAGAGAAGAGGCCAUGGCUUUGGAGCACCUGGUAGUGUGUCCACAGUGAAGACCAGAAUUUCAUUGUCCUCAAGACUGACCUGGGGAGAUGUGGCUGCGGGCCAGUGAGGAAGGGUUGGAGACCUUCAAAUUAACUGACAAUAGAUACAUUAAUAGGAGAGACAAUAUUUGGCUUCUUAUUCCACAAGUAUCAUUGUAGGACAAAAUUCAUCAGAUGGCAGGAUCCAGUUUACAAACAGAUGGCACCAAAAACGAAGGAAGCUCCUGCCCCUCCUAAAGCCGAAGCCAAAGCAAAGGCUUUAAAGGCCAAGAGAGCAGUGUUGAAAUGUAUCCACAGCCCCCCCAAAAAAGAAGAUCUGCACCUUACCCACCUUCCAGCAUCCCCAGACACUGCAACUCUGGAGGCAGCCCAGAUAUCCUGGGAAGAGCGCCCCCCGGAGAAACAAGCUUGACCUCCAUGCUAUCAUCAAGUUUCCACUGAUCACUGAGUCAGCCAUGCAGAAGACAGAAGACAACAACUUGCUUGUGUUCACUGUCGAUGUUAAAGCCAACAAGUACCGGAUCAAACAGACUGUGAAGAAGCUCUGGGACGUGGAUGUGGCCACGGUCAACAUCCUGAUUCGGCCUGAUGGAGAGAAGAAAGCAUAUGUUCAACUGGCUCCUGAUUACGAUGCUUUGGAUGAAGUCAACAAA
Molecule: non-coding RNA, 1002 nt
Organism: Chlorocebus sabaeus (green monkey)
Lineage: Eukaryota; Metazoa; Chordata; Mammalia; Primates; Cercopithecidae
Source: RefSeq, a predicted model, not a curated record